GGAAUGCCGAAGAGAUUUGGCAGUGCUCGCAAGAGAACCGGAACACAGGUGCUGCAUGGCUGUCGUCAGCUCGUGUCGUGAGAUGUUGGGUUAAGUCCCGCAACGAGCGCAACCCUUGUCAUUAGUUGCUACGAAAGGGCACUCUAAUGAGACUGCCGGUGACAAACCGGAGGAAGGUGGGGAUGACGUCAAGUCCUCAUGGCCCUUAUGGGUAGGGCUUCACACGUCAUACAAUGGUCGGGACAGAGGGUCGCCAACCCGCGAGGGGGAGCCAAUCCCAGAAACCCGAUCGUAGUCCGGAUCGCAGUCUGCAACUCGACUGCGUGAAGUCGGAAUCGCUAGUAAUCGCGGAUCAGCAUGUCGCGGUGAAUACGUUCCCGGGUC
RNAcentral lists this ribosomal RNA (384 nucleotides) under Achromobacter sp. CM32. Its description in RNAcentral is "bacterial SSU rRNA". It matches the Rfam family "Bacterial small subunit ribosomal RNA", at positions 992 to 1380 of the family's 1533-position model. Lineage: Bacteria; Pseudomonadati; Pseudomonadota; Betaproteobacteria; Burkholderiales; Alcaligenaceae. The record is from RNAcentral.